AAGGUGGGUGACGUAGUUCAGUUUCAUUGGCUCAUUGGUGCAUGAUUGUCACCCACCGUAGCCUAUUGGAAGUGGCGCUGAUGGUAUUUUAAGCCUGGAGUUAGAUCACCUGGUGUGCGUCACGACUAGGACCGCCCAUACUGGGUGCGCUGGUGUAGAGGGUGCGUGGUUUCUUUUGGUUUGUGGCUGUUUGGCUAAUAGAUGUGAGCAUGUGGAUUUUAAAUGUAGACUUUGUUUUUUCUUAGUGCGUUUUAUGCCUGGUUGGGUCACAGACUGUCCACUGCAUGUCAGCCGUGAAAUCAGUGAAAAGUCUUCCUGCAUGUUAAUUCAUUAUGAGCUGUGAGCGACUAUACACUUCGUGUGGCACGAGGAAUUGCUUUGGGCACUGCCGGUCCGAGGCUGGGAGGCUAGCUAGCUAGCUUGGAGUACGGGUGGUGGUGCAAUUGUGUGGAGUGGAGUGCUGCUUGGAUUCACCUCUCACUGCGUGUGUGCGUGUGUGCGUGCUACACGAAUCCACAAAUAGGGUCUUCACUCCAUCUAGCCUGCCCCUGCCGCUGGAAAGCCUGUGUCUUUUAUUAUUUUUAUUUAUUUUUUUUUUUUGAGUAUUUUCAAAUUGAUAUCUUUAUUUUGUCCAGUAUACAGAGCUUCUGAUUGUGACAGUGUUUGAUUGUGACCUGACAUUUGACAUUGAUUAUCAUUGAACAUUUUAACUAUUUAUGGUGAUUUGAAUAAAGUCUUUUGUACAUUGUUCACACGCCUCUCUCGGAUCACUUCAGCCUACGAACCUGUGUCCCUUAUUUUGGUUAUUUCCCCGUUUCUUUACGGGGUGGCGUAGUCGGAUUGUAUUUGGGUGUGUUCAAACGUACUUACAACGUUGUCCCCCCCCCCUCCCUCAGCAUUGCCACAUAUAUAUAUAUA
Molecule: long non-coding RNA, 918 nt
Organism: Labeo rohita (rohu)
Lineage: Eukaryota; Metazoa; Chordata; Actinopteri; Cypriniformes; Cyprinidae
Exons: 3
Source: RefSeq, a predicted model, not a curated record